RNAcentral lists this long non-coding RNA (477 nucleotides) under Monodelphis domestica (gray short-tailed opossum). Its description in RNAcentral is "lncRNA (ENSMODG00000044612.1)". The record is from RNAcentral. Lineage: Eukaryota; Metazoa; Chordata; Mammalia; Didelphimorphia; Didelphidae.
GUCAGGUGAGGGUCAGAGGUUGGAGAGCUGCCCUAGGAGGGCAUGACAAGCCCUCCAUACCAGAGAAAAUACUCCUCCCUGAGCACCAUAUAUUAUUCAAAGGAAAUCAACCCCCUUUGGAGGAUCAAACUCAGGACCUUCAGCUUUAGAGACUGAUGUGUUGCCUACUGUGCUAAGAAGCAAUUUUAGGGAAAGAUUGGACACGGAAAAGCUGAUGCAACAGAAGGACUGUUUUGAGGAGCAGCAUGAUUCCAGAAAGGCCCCAAAGAAGAAGAUACCAGCAAGAGAAGAUAUCCUCAGAAAUCAGACAAAUGCAUAAUGAGACUGAAUUCUUGGAAAUAAUGGACGGGACAGUGGGAAUUAGAAUGUAAUCUCAUCCUGCUAUAGACAUCUACUAUAAGAAAUCAAGAAGGAAUUACAUGCUGGGUGCUCAGAUGGCACAUUAAAGGAUACUCUGUUCCUCAGAUCUUUAUACAC